UUAAUAUCUACCUUUUCAUCAUUCACACCAUUCAAUCAAAUUUCACGGGUUUAACAUCAACAUUUUCAUCAUUCACACAAUUCAAUCAAAUUUCAUGGCUUUAACAACAACAAUUUCAUCAUUCACACAAUUCAAUCAAAUUUCAUGGGUUUAACAAUGACAUUUUCAUCAUUCACACAAUUCAAUCAAAUUCCAUGGUUUUAACAAUGACAUUUACAUCAUUCACAUAAUUCAAUCAAAUUCCAUGGGUUUAACAAUAACAUUUUCAUCAUUCACAUAAUUCAAUCAAAUUUCAUGGGUUUAACAACAACAUUUUCAUCAUUCACACAGUUCAAUCAAAUUUCAUGGGUUUAACAUCUACCUUUUCAUCAUUCACACCAUAUAAUCAAAUUUCACGGGUUUAACAUCAACAUUUUCAUCAUUCCCACAAUUCAAUCAAAUUUCAUGGCUUUAACAAUGACAUUUUCAUCAUUCACACAAUUGAAUCAAAUUUCAUGGGUUUAAAAUCAAAAUUUUCAUCAUUCACACAAUUCAAUCAAAUUUCAUAG
This 548-nucleotide long non-coding RNA is filed under the name Lathyrus oleraceus (garden pea). Its description in RNAcentral is "Pisum sativum (pea) long non-coding RNA (PSAT_LNC027471)". The record is from RNAcentral. Lineage: Eukaryota; Viridiplantae; Streptophyta; Magnoliopsida; Fabales; Fabaceae.